Molecule: long non-coding RNA, 657 nt
Organism: Portunus trituberculatus (swimming crab)
Lineage: Eukaryota; Metazoa; Arthropoda; Malacostraca; Decapoda; Portunidae
Exons: 4
Source: RefSeq, a predicted model, not a curated record
AUGACAGUCUCUUGCUUGGUGCCGUUGACAAAGGAACACUCGGCCUCACCAUUCAUCACACACUGCUCCACCGUCCUGCACCACAACACCACAGUCACCACAUCAUCACCACACCACCACCACAAUGUCAUAAGAUAAUGCUGGCGUUCGUCAUACACUUCUGAGGACACGUGUUCAAAGCCAAGCCACCGCGCACACCUGCAGGACAGAGAGUUCGACGGACGGGUGGACGGCGACUUCACUUACCCUGAGAUGAUCCGUCGUGAUUCUGUAAGAGCACCACAUCUCUCGGCGCUGACUGCUUCCAACUCUUUCACAGGUGCUGCCACUACUAAAGGGACAAUCAAACCAGUGUGUCCUGCCAACACAACCACAUCUUGCUGUAGGAAACUGGCUCAUCUUGCACUGGGAGAUCAGAUGCCAUGCUCUGCCUCCUACCUCCACACUGCUAUCCACCCAGGGACAGGGAGGGGUAGGAGAGACUUCUUCACACCUCCACCAGGAGUUACAUCCUGCCAUCCGAACAGAGAGGGAGGGAGGAGAUUUGUGCCUUGUCCUAUCAAUCUGUUGUCACAUUAUCCCUUCCUUGUCCUGUGAAUGUACCUGCAUACCUGUGCUGCUGUGCUACUAAAUAAUAAAUUAUAAUCAUGAAAUCAA